This 467-nucleotide ribosomal RNA is filed under the name uncultured bacterium. RNAcentral's name for it is "partial 16S ribosomal RNA". It matches the Rfam family "Bacterial small subunit ribosomal RNA", at positions 28 to 507 of the family's 1533-position model. The record is from RNAcentral.
GACGAACGCUGGCGGCGUGCUUAACACAUGCAAGUCGAACGGAAAGGCUCCAGCUUGCUGGAGUACUCGAGUGGCGAACGGGUGAGUAACACGUGGGUAAUCUGCCCUGCACUCUGGGAUAAGCCUGGGAAACUGGGUCUAAUACUGGAUAUGACCUUUCUCCUUAUGGGGUUUGGUGGAAAGUUUUUCGGUGUAGGAUGAGCCCGCGGCCUAUCAGCUUGUUGGUGGGGUGAUGGCCUACCAAGGCGACGACGGGUAGCCGGCCUGAGAGGGUGAUCGGCCACAUUGGGACUGAGAUACGGCCCAGACUCCUACGGGAGGCAGCAGUGGGGAAUAUUGCACAAUGGGCGGAAGCCUGAUGCAGCGACGCCGCGUGAGGGAUGACGGCCUUCGGGUUGUAAACCUCUUUCAGCAGGGUCGAAGCGUAAGUGACGGUACCUGCAGAAGAAGCACCGGCUAACUAGGUG